This 301-nucleotide ribosomal RNA is filed under the name uncultured bacterium. RNAcentral describes it as "partial 16S ribosomal RNA". It matches the Rfam family "Bacterial small subunit ribosomal RNA", at positions 509 to 807 of the family's 1533-position model. The record is from RNAcentral.
CAGUCGCCGCGGGAAUACGGAGGGUGCAAGCGUUAAUCGGAAUUACUGGGCGUAAAGCGCACGCAGGCGGUUUGUUAAGUCAGAUGUGAAAUCCCCGCGCUUAACGUGGGAACUGCAUUUGAAACUGGCAAGCUAGAGUCUUGUAGAGGGGGGUAGAAUUCCAGGUGUAGCGGUGAAAUGCGUAGAGAUCUGGAGGAAUACCGGUGGCGAAGGCGGCCCCCUGGACAAAGACUGACGCUCAGGUGCGAAAGCGUGGGGAGCAAACAGGAUUAGAUACCCCGGUAGUCCCUGUCUCUUAUAC